RNAcentral lists this ribosomal RNA (460 nucleotides) under uncultured bacterium. RNAcentral's name for it is "partial 16S ribosomal RNA". It matches the Rfam family "Bacterial small subunit ribosomal RNA", at positions 338 to 795 of the family's 1533-position model. The record is from RNAcentral.
CCUACGGGUGGCAGCAGUGAGGAAUAUUGGUCAAUGGGCGUAAGCCUGAACCAGCCAAGUCGCGUGAGGGAUGAAGGUUCUAUGGAUCGUAAACCUCUUUUAUAAGGGAAUAAAGUGCGGGACGUGUCCCGUUUUGUAUGUACCUUAUGAAUAAGGAUCGGCUAACUCCGUGCCAGCAGCCGCGGUAAUACGGAGGAUCCGAGCGUUAUCCGGAUUUAUUGGGUUUAAAGGGUGCGUAGGCGGCCUUUUAAGUCAGCGGUGAAAGUCUGUGGCUCAACCAUAGAAUUGCCGUUGAAACUGGGAGGCUUGAGUAUGUUUGAGGCAGGCGGAAUGCGUGGUGUAGCGGUGAAAUGCUUAGAUAUCAGGAGGAACAUCGGUGGCGAAAGCGCUUUACUGGACCAUUAUUGACGCUGAGGAACGAAAGCCAGGGGAGCAAAUGGGAUUAGAUACCCCAGUAGUC